Molecule: unclassified non-coding RNA, 229 nt
Filed under: uncultured Inocybe
Lineage: Eukaryota; Fungi; Basidiomycota; Agaricomycetes; Agaricales; Cortinariaceae
Description: sequence contains ITS1
Source: RNAcentral
UUGAAUAAACUUGAACAGGCUGUUGCUGGCCCCCUUGGAGGUACGUGCACGCUUGUCAUCUUUACUUCUCCAACUGUGCACAUGCUGUAGAUCUGGGAGCCCUUUUUAUUCUUGAAUAGAUUGAGGAUUGCUGCACUCGAGUGUCGGCUUUGCCUUGCGUUUCCAGAUCUAUGUUUUCUUCACAAUCUCAGAAUAUGUCUAGAAUGUUGAAUUGGAUGAUAAUAAUAUA